This 254-nucleotide ribosomal RNA is filed under the name uncultured prokaryote. RNAcentral describes it as "partial 16S ribosomal RNA". It matches the Rfam family "Bacterial small subunit ribosomal RNA", at positions 524 to 776 of the family's 1533-position model. The record is from RNAcentral.
UACGGGGGGAGCAAGCGUUGUUCGGAUUUACUGGGCGUAAAGGGCGGGUAGGCGGCCACUGCAAGUCGGUUGUGAAAUCUCCGGGCUUAACCCGGAAAGGUCAACCGAUACUGCAGGGCUAGAGUGCAGAAGGGGCAACUGGAAUUCUCGGUGUAGCGGUGAAAUGCGUAGAUAUCGGGAGGAGCACCUGUGGCGAAAGCGGCUCACUGGACCAUAACUGACGCUGAGGCGCGAAAGCUAGGGGAGCAAACAGG